UAGCUAGGAAAAGGUUCAGACCUUUGUACAAAAUUUUUGUACAGUGGAACCUCUAGGUUUUCCGAGUAGCAACCAACAAAAAUUCUUUGACUUUAGAUUAAACACCAAGGCUUUCAGAAUAGGAAUCCUUCCCAUGGUAACACCGUGCUACAGGGAUUCAUGGAUUCCAAAUCUUCAAUUAGACAGGGUGUGCUUGCAAAGAGAAGGUCAAAUUUUCAUGGGAAUCAAUUCCCAGUAAACACAGAGGUGGCUAGGAAGGCUGUUGACUUGAUUGUAAAUCAAAACACUUGUCAAAAGAUGAUGCUAAACAGCAAUUUUUUAGAAUCUUGAGAACUCCUCCUUAUGGGAAUUCUGUUUUCUUCAGUGUACGGAAGAUAGAUGAUCCUAUAGAAGUCAUAUCUUUAUGAGGGGAAGAAGAAAGACCCUU
Molecule: long non-coding RNA, 427 nt
Organism: Zingiber officinale
Lineage: Eukaryota; Viridiplantae; Streptophyta; Magnoliopsida; Zingiberales; Zingiberaceae
Exons: 4
Source: RefSeq, a predicted model, not a curated record